Triticum dicoccoides is the source of this 1063-nucleotide long non-coding RNA. RefSeq lists it as uncharacterized. The record is from RefSeq and is a predicted model, not a curated record. NCBI's taxonomy places the organism in Eukaryota, Viridiplantae, Streptophyta, Magnoliopsida, Poales, Poaceae. The transcript has 5 exons.
UCGUGCGAUGAGAGUCGUCUCGCCGGACGCGGGGGCCCACCACAACCCCCAGCCUCUCUCCACUCUGCUUCGUCAUUUUGAGGCGCGUUGCCGGAGGUCCGCCGGAGAUUGGGAAGGCAUUGUAGAAGCGGGAGGAGAGAACCCCCUACAUAAGGAGGAUAGAGGGGCUAGAGCUCCGCGCGCAGUGACCACUAGGCGGAGGCGGAAGGGUGGCGUCCGGGGCCGUCGCUUCUCUGCGUGCCGCGUCCACGAAGCGACGGAUCGAACGGGAGGGACACCGCACGUCUGUGCAGCUCGACUCCUAGCGGCGAAGAGCGAGAGCCAGAAGCGCCAUCGUCAGCGGUCGAGAAAUCAGGCCUCAGAUCGCCGGGGGGUGCAGUUAGGCCGUGUCUGGCCGCCGGAGGCUGUCGCGCUCGUACAGCUCAUACUCUCUGCUAGCUUGGUGAGCUCCUCGUCUUCAUGAGUACCCCGACUUCCUCGCGUCUCACCCGAACUCCAGCGGAAGCUAACUGCCAUGGGCCUCACUAAAUUCAAAGUUAAAGCAACAUUUUUGAGGUUUUGUGCACACGACCAAGCAAGAAGGUCCAACACCCAUUUUCAGUAAAAUCAGUACUAGCUGCUCAUGUCGGAAAAACAAGGGGAAAACACUGGAAAAAUAGUUGCAAUCAAGAUGAAUAAGGCUUUUGUAAAAGUGAAGGUGUUUGAGAGGGCACAUCAAGAUAGAAGCUCACCUGUCAGGUCCAUGGCCUCCAAAAUGGGGGCAACAGUUGUGGCAAUGGAGGAGAGGACAGAUGGAGAAGGGCAUGUCAAGGGGGGAGGUUUGGGAGUCUGCGACUGGGAAGGGGAAGGAGGAUUUGGUGCAUCGGCAUGAGCAGCAGUUACGAUUGUGACAGACUCGUCCCUGGAGGCCAUGUGCGUGAGGCGUUUCUUUCCUUUUUUGGUUUGCUAGCUGUAUCCGGGGAGAGGUCCACUACCAAUUUUGGGGUGUGUGCUCUGGACCGCUAGCCAGCCAACGGUUGCUGGCUAGUCGUGUCCAAUAGUAAAAAUUUCAUAAAAAGGAAAU